Molecule: long non-coding RNA, 423 nt
Filed under: Helianthus annuus (common sunflower)
Lineage: Eukaryota; Viridiplantae; Streptophyta; Magnoliopsida; Asterales; Asteraceae
Description: hypothetical non coding rna
Source: RNAcentral
GAUCGAACAGGAGAAAGGAAAAAGGGGGGUGUGAACCUAAACCUCAAGAAAUCAUCAAAUUGAAAAGGGAAUCAAGGGCUGAUUGUAUGCAUGAACCAAGGAUGAUGAUCCCUUAAGCAUUUCUAACAUCAAGAGCCAUGUCAACAUGGACACGAGCAUGGAAGGGCAAUGGGUCAGCGGUAAAUACGGAAGCUAUGCAUGAACUCGGACGCACGAGGUAUUGCACGGAUUACCGCUACUACUACCGAAGAUAAGCAAGCGUUGAUCGAGUCACGGAGCAAGGGUUGUACGGAAAUAUGUAUUGUCUUGAAGCGUUAAUUUAAUGUGGUUAUUGUAAAUCCCUUUUGUAAAUGUUUAUCAUUUGUAUUUGAGCCUUCAAGUAAGUAAUGUGUCUAAAUAAGAAAGAAAUUUUUGGGCUCGUAU